CCCUUAGAUGUUCUGGGCCGCACGCGCGCUACACUGAUGCAUUCAACGAGCCUAUCCUUGACCGACAGGUCCGGGUAAUCUUUGAAUCUGCAUCGUGACGGGGAUAGAUUAUUGCAAUUAUUAAUCUUCAACGAGGAAUGCCUAGUAGGCGCAAGUCAUCAGCUUGCGUCGAUUACGUCCCUGCCCUUUGUACACACCGCCCGUCGCUCCUACCGAUUGGGUGUGCUGGUGAAAUGUUCGGAUCGGCCGUUUGUCGCGGUUUCCGCGGCUCGUGGCUGAGAAGUUCAUUAAACCCUCCCACCUAGAGGAAGGAGGAGUCGUAACA
Molecule: ribosomal RNA, 325 nt
Filed under: uncultured eukaryote
Lineage: Eukaryota
Description: partial 18S ribosomal RNA
Rfam family: Eukaryotic small subunit ribosomal RNA
Source: RNAcentral